AUAAAAGUUUUAUAGGGUUCCGUAGUUGAAAUUUUAACUGGUCUGGUCCGAGAUAAAACGCACAGUAUUCUGUGUUCACGGAAGGACAAAAGCCUGGGAGAU
RNAcentral lists this small RNA (102 nucleotides) under Romboutsia lituseburensis. RNAcentral describes it as "ykkC-yxkD". It matches the Rfam family "Guanidine-I riboswitch aptamer". From Rfam's summary of the family: This family represents a conserved RNA structure found upstream of the ykkC and yxkD genes in Bacillus subtilis and related genes in other bacteria. RNAcentral also lists the same sequence under 1 other name. The record is from RNAcentral. Lineage: Bacteria; Bacillati; Bacillota; Clostridia; Peptostreptococcales; Peptostreptococcaceae.